Molecule: long non-coding RNA, 744 nt
Organism: Suricata suricatta (meerkat)
Lineage: Eukaryota; Metazoa; Chordata; Mammalia; Carnivora; Herpestidae
Exons: 5
Source: RefSeq, a predicted model, not a curated record
GUAAGUUCUCAGUAAGCAGCAGUUUUUAUUCCUCUGCCUAUGUGGGUACAGCGCUUGCCCCAGAUUAUUUGAUUUUAUCUGGACCACGAUUCAGAAGGACCCUGUAUGUCCGGAUCAGAGCCCCGAAGACAGCCCAUCCCGUACGUUGGUUAUUCAUGGAUCCGUCCAUCCACUGCUUCUCAGCCCCCUUGAUUUCCAGCGCGGCUCGACAAGGAAGUCUGCUCGGUCUCCCCCAGCUCCACAAGCUGUCAGCGGCGCUCCAUUAUCUGCCACAUCCCUUUCCUCCUGGCCGUCUUUCUUUCCAAACGGCAGCUACCAGAUCUGCCUGGGAUGGAAGUCUGGGAGGCAGGGACACAAACACAGACUCUUGAGUCAGACGGCUCCAAGUUCAAAUGCUGGGACCCUACGUCGACAGGCUGGUUGAUGAGAUCUUUGCUCCCAUCUCUCCUCUCGUCACCUGUGUCAGAAUGCGACACUGUUGCCCAUUGGGGACCAGCUACUAAUUAUUUUAGACUGCGAAGGCCAGAUGGUCUCUGUCGCAACUCCUUAACUCCAGCCGUGCAGAGCACAGCAGCCAGACUGUUGGCAAACAAAGUCCAGCGGGAAUGAAGCUGGGGAUAAGGAUGGAGGCAAGAGGCAAGAUUUGGAGACACAGCUGUGCUUCCCGGAAUCACACAAUGCGGCAGCUCUCAUGUCACACCUGACAGAGAGAGCACGAGGAGGAGAGGGUCAGAGAGAAAGGGA